CCAGCUGCGGCCACACCUUCUGCGAGGAAUGCCUUAGGACGGAGAACCGCAAGAGUGUGUUCCAGUGCCCUUCUUGCCGGCAGGACCGCGACCAGUUCUGGACGCUGAAGCCUAACUUCGCGCUGCUCGACCUGCUCGAAGCGCUCCAGACAAGCGAGUAAGAGGCAGCAGAUUAUUAUGAUACAGAGUAAACGCGCUGCAGCAUCAUGAAGGAGAAUUGAAGCCCUAAACACAAACACACACAAUGUUUGUGGAAACCUCACGUUGGCAGUGUGAUUAU
Non-coding RNA from Penaeus vannamei (Pacific white shrimp), 280 nucleotides. Lineage: Eukaryota; Metazoa; Arthropoda; Malacostraca; Decapoda; Penaeidae. The record is from RefSeq and is a predicted model, not a curated record.